GGAGGGAUGGCCGAGCGGCUUAAGGCGCAUGUCUUGAAAACAUGUUAGGGUAACACCUACGUGGGUUCGAAUCCCACUCCCUCCGCUA
This 88-nucleotide transfer RNA is filed under the name Anaerolineae bacterium. Its description in RNAcentral is "tRNA-Ser". It matches the Rfam family "tRNA". From Rfam's summary of the family: Transfer RNA (tRNA) molecules are approximately 80 nucleotides in length. Lineage: Bacteria; Bacillati; Chloroflexota; Anaerolineae. The record is from RNAcentral.